Molecule: ribosomal RNA, 434 nt
Filed under: uncultured bacterium
Lineage: Bacteria
Description: partial 16S ribosomal RNA
Rfam family: Bacterial small subunit ribosomal RNA
Source: RNAcentral
AGCGAACGCUGGCGGCAGGCCUAACACAUGCAAGUCGAACGAACCUUUCGGGGUUAGUGGCGGACGGGUGAGUAACACGUGGGAACGUGCCUUUAGGUUCGGAAUAACUCAGGGAAACUUGUGCUAAUACCGAAUGUGCCCUUCGGGGGAAAGAUUUAUCGCCUUUAGAGCGGCCCGCGUCUGAUUAGCUAGUUGGUUGAGGUAAUGGCUCACCAAGGCGACGAUCAGUAGCUGGUCUGAGAGGAUGAUCAGCCACAUUGAGACUGAGACACGGCCCAAACUCCUACGGGAGGCAGCAGUGGGGAAUCUUGCGCAAUGGGCGAAAGCCUGACGCAGCCAUGCCGCGUGAAUGAUGAAGGUCUUAGGAUUGUAAAAUUCUUUCACCGGGGACGAUAAUGACGGUACCCGGAGAAGAAGCCCCGGCUAACUUCGUG